This 2612-nucleotide long non-coding RNA is filed under the name Sus scrofa (pig). RNAcentral's name for it is "lncRNA (ENSSSCG00050011661.1)". The record is from RNAcentral. Lineage: Eukaryota; Metazoa; Chordata; Mammalia; Artiodactyla; Suidae.
AUCUUCUUGAGAGUCAGGUUUUGCUAGUCUAUGAAGUGAUAACAUAUUUACCAUACCAUUGCAUCAACUUCAGGAUUAAGGAAGACUGUAUUCACCUGCUGAGGGAGUAAAAUACCAUUACCCAUGAGGAUGCGGGUUUGAUUCCUGGCCUUGCUCAGUGGGUUGGGGAUCUCGCCGUUGCUGUGAGGUGUAGUAUGGGUCACAUUUGCGGCUUGGAUCCCAUGUCACUGUGGCUGUGGCAUAGGCCAACAGCUGCAGCUCCAAUCUGACCCCUAGCCUGGGAACUCCACAUGCCGCAGGUCUGGCCCUAAAAAAGACAAAAAAAAAAAAACACCAAAAACAAACAACAACCAAAAAAACUAUUGAGCAUUUACUAUGAUUUAAGCACUGUAGUAAAAUAUGUGUACAAAAAAAGAAAAAAUAUGUGUACAUAUGCACAUAUUUUCUGUUAUUUCUCUAUAUUAGGUAUACAUACAUCUCAAAUGAGAAUGUAUAUUCUCAUUUAAUUCUCAUAAGAGUAUAUUAAAAACAUUAUUAUUAUUUUUUAAUAGAUGAGACUGAGCUUCAGGGAGAUUAUAUAAUUUUCUUUAGGUCACACAGCUAUCAAGUGUCAGAGCUGGGACUCAAGUCCAGGUUUGGCUACAAAGCCUAUGCUCUUUGGUGUCCAGCAAUACUUUCCAGCAAACCCUCCCUCCAUUAAAUGUCUUAUUUUGCCAAAUGACAUCCAUUAAUAAAAUUUUAGAUGCAUUCUCAUCAAAAGCAAUUAUACACUGAAUCGAAAACUUUUUGAGAUUAAGAAGUUAAUUGACUAGGGUGGAAGAGAGAGAUGUUCAGGGUAGUGAAAGCAACUGAAAAGAACUGCAGUGGUUCAGGGGAGAAAGAUGAGACCCUAGACUAAGUGGGUGUGCUGGUAAGAAUGGAGGAGAGAAAAAUGGAUAUGAGAUGUUUCUUAGCUCAGGCUGCUAUAGCAAAGUACCAUAGACUAGGUGCUUUAUAAAUAACAUGGUUAUUUCUCAUAGAUCUGGAGGCUGGAAGUCUGUGAUUAGAGUACCAGCAUAGUUGAGUUCUGGUGAGGGGUCUCCACCAGGUGGAGAGCAAAGAGAGGUAGCAAGCUCUCUCGAUUUAUAAAGGCACUUAAUCCCACUCAUGACCUCAUCUAAUCCUAAUUACCUCUCCAAAGCCCUCCCUUCGUAUACCAUCAAAUUGAGGGAUAGGAUUUCAGUGUGUAAAUUUGCGGGGAACACAAACAUUCAGUCCAUAACACAGGUGCCAGUGAAGAUAGUGUGGCCAUUGCUAGUGUUCUGUGCUUCUUGAACUUAUGCAACUCACUCCUUCCUCAGUGCCCCCUGCCUGGAAGAGUCUUCCUCCAGGCCUUUAAAUAGCUGGCUCUUUCUUGUCAUCCGUGUCUCAGCUCAAAUAACACUACUCAUGAUAGAGAAACAUUUCAUUAUCUUGAAAAUUCAUCAAUAAAGGGAGAGAAUUGAGCAUUUAUCCUGCCUUUCCUAGAUGAACUGGGUAACAAAAUAGUAGAUAAAGGGGCAUGUCUUUUUCUAAAGUUAUUGCCAUAAUAAAAAUGAUUAAAAUUAGAAUAUCACCAUUUUGCAAUCCUUGAUAAAACAGAUGGAUAUAGGAGCAUCAACAGCUUCUAAGAUUAUUAAAAAACAUCAGACAUUUUGUCUAUCCUAUAGUCAUACGAAAGGGAUUGGAACUUGAGUUUGACCUAGUCUUUGAUCCAGCUGCCAGUUUGCAGGAAAUACAGACAGGAACUAAACAAUGCUUAUGCAGUUAGCAAAAUACAGAGAUGCUUCAUAAGUCAAACUCAAGUUCUUCCAUAAAAAAAAAAUCACCUCUUAGGCCUUUCUCAACCAUGUUCUCGAAAUUAGUAUCUACUAUCCAAGUUACUAUUCACAUUACCCUGUUUGAUUUUCCCCAUAGCCCUUGUCAUCAACUGAGGAGGUUUCCUUACAUGAGAAGCAAUAUAGCCUAUCAGUUAAGAGAACAAACUAUAGCAUCAGACUGCUCAAAUUCAAAUCUUGACUACUUGGUAGCUAUAUGACCUUAAAAAACUUCAGAGCUAUAGACUUCUGUUUCUCAACUAUAAAACAGGAUUAAUAUCAGUGCCUAUAUCAUAGGGUCAUUAGGAGUAUUGAAUGAAUUAGCAUAUCUAAAGAGCUUGUCACAGUGCCUGAUACAGGCUAAGCAUUAUAAAUGCUAAUACAUAUGUCUUUUUUUUUUUUUUUAAUUUCAUUUUUGGCCACUCUGAGGCAUAUGGAGUUUCCGGGCCAGGGAUCAAAUCCGGGCCAGGGAGUUGAGACCUACCCUGCAGCUGUGGCAACGCCAGAUCCUUUAACCCACUGUGCUGGGCCAGGAAUUGAAUCUGCAUCCUAGAGCUGUAGAGACGCUACCAAUCCUGUUGCCCCACAGCAGGAACUCUUGUAUGUAAGUCUUUCUGCACUAUUCCCAGCACCUAAAAGUGCCUAGCAUAUAUAUCACAUGCACAAAAAAUGUUUGUUGAAUGAAGGGCUUGAAUAAAGGUGGCAAAGAAAUAUAGGAAAGAGACAUGUAAAAUCUUUUUAAAAGUUUAUUUAUUUUACAUGGAUUAUUUAAGAUAU